Molecule: non-coding RNA, 114 nt
Organism: Lachancea lanzarotensis
Lineage: Eukaryota; Fungi; Ascomycota; Saccharomycetes; Saccharomycetales; Saccharomycetaceae
Source: Rfam
GUCCAGCCCGUUUUGGCGGACUGGACAUUUGGUCAAUUUGAAACAAUACAGAGAUGAUCAGCAGUUCCCCUGCAUAAGGAUGAACCGUUUUACAAAGAGAUUUACUAUUUUUUU